RNAcentral lists this transfer RNA (73 nucleotides) under Streptomyces leeuwenhoekii. Its description in RNAcentral is "tRNA-Arg-CCT". It matches the Rfam family "tRNA". Rfam says of the family: Transfer RNA (tRNA) molecules are approximately 80 nucleotides in length. The record is from RNAcentral. Lineage: Bacteria; Bacillati; Actinomycetota; Actinomycetes; Kitasatosporales; Streptomycetaceae.
CUUCGUAGCUCAGGGGAUAGAGCACCGCUCUCCUAAAGCGGGUGUCGCAGGUUCGAAUCCUGCCGGGGGCACA